RNAcentral lists this ribosomal RNA (253 nucleotides) under uncultured bacterium. RNAcentral describes it as "partial 16S ribosomal RNA". It matches the Rfam family "Bacterial small subunit ribosomal RNA", at positions 524 to 776 of the family's 1533-position model. The record is from RNAcentral.
UACAGAGGGUGCGAGCGUUAAUCGGAAUUACUGGGCGUAAAGCGCGCGUAGGCGGCUUUGCAAGUCGGGUGUGAAAUCCCCAGGCUUAACCUGGGAACUGCAUUCGAGACUGCAUUGCUAGAGUAUGGGAGAGGGAAGUGGAAUUUCCGGUGUAGCGGUGAAAUGCGUAGAUAUCGGAAGGAACAUCAGUGGCGAAGGCAGCCUCCUGGGCCAGCACUGACGCUCAUGCACGAAAGCGUGGGGAGCAAACAGG